AGUGAACGCUGGCGGUAGGCCUAACACAUGCAAGUCGAACGGCAGCACAGUAAGAGCUUGCUCUUACGGGUGGCGAGUGGCGGACGGGUGAGGAAUACAUCGGAAUCUACUUUUUCGUGGGGGAUAACGUAGGGAAACUUACGCUAAUACCGCAUACGACCUACGGGUGAAAGCAGGGGAUCUUCGGACCUUGCGCGAUUGAAUGAGCCGAUGUCGGAUUAGCUAGUUGGCGGGGUAAAGGCCCACCAAGGCGACGAUCCGUAGCUGGUCUGAGAGGAUGGUCCGCCAACACUGAACCGAGGAACGGUUCCGACCUCCACGGGAGGCAGGAGUUGGGAAAUAUUGACAAAGGGGGGAAACCCUGUUCCAGCCAUCCGGGUGGGGGGAGAAGGCCUUUGGGUUGUAAAACCCUUUUUGUGGGGAAGAAAAAGCGGCGGGUUAAUCCCCCGCUUUUCGAAGGUACCCAAAAAAAAAAGCACCGCCAACUUCGGG
This 492-nucleotide ribosomal RNA is filed under the name uncultured bacterium. RNAcentral's name for it is "partial 16S ribosomal RNA". It matches the Rfam family "Bacterial small subunit ribosomal RNA", at positions 29 to 507 of the family's 1533-position model. The record is from RNAcentral.